Long non-coding RNA from Amborella trichopoda, 306 nucleotides. RefSeq lists it as uncharacterized. The record is from RefSeq and is a predicted model, not a curated record. Lineage: Eukaryota; Viridiplantae; Streptophyta; Magnoliopsida; Amborellales; Amborellaceae.
AGUCUACCUAUGGGGUGGAGGCGAUAUACAGAACUGUGCUUCUGUAUCAUAAGCCAGACUAAUUUGGAACGCACGAUCAGAAAAUGGGCCGUCAGUUGGUGUGACGGUAAAAAGUUCAGGCAGCCAGUGCAAGAGUGCAGGUUCGAGUCCUGAGAGCGGCCACUUUGUGCAUAAGCCAAAGAUGAAGUACAUGACUUUAUGCAUGGAGAAAGAGAUUACGGCAUUACUGCACUGAAAAUGAGACCAUGCUCAAGAAUGACAUGGAGGAGAAAGAGAGCCGAAAUUCAACCACUCAUUGUAUGAAAG